GUACGGGAGGCAGCAGUGGGGAAUUUUGGACAAUGGGGGCAACCCUGAUCCAGCCAUGCCGCGUGAGUGAAGAAGGCCUUCGGGUUGUAAAGCUCUUUCGGCGGGGAAGAAAUCGCACUGGCUAAUAACUGGUGUGGAUGACGGUACCCGAAUAAGAAGCACCGGCUAACUACGUGCCGGCAGCCGCGGUAAUACGUAGGGUGCGAGCGUUAAUCGGAAUUACUGGGCGUAAAGCGUGCGCAGGCGGUUGUGCAAGACAGGCGUGAAAUCCCCGGGCUUAACCUGGGAAUGGCGCUUGUGACUGCACGACUAGAGUACGGCAGAGGGGGGUGGAAUUCCACGUGUAGCAGUGAAAUGCGUAGAGAUGUGGAGGAACACCGAUGGCGAAGGCAGCCCCCUGGGCCAGUACUGACGCUCAUGCACGAAAGCGUGGGGAGCAAACAGGAUUAGAUACCCGCGUAGUCC
This 465-nucleotide ribosomal RNA is filed under the name uncultured bacterium. RNAcentral's name for it is "bacterial SSU rRNA". It matches the Rfam family "Bacterial small subunit ribosomal RNA", at positions 339 to 796 of the family's 1533-position model. The record is from RNAcentral.